CAACGAAAUAAAAGAUGAAGGCCCAACCAAAAAGGUAAGAGGAAAGCCCAAAACAAAACAAAAGAGGACUAUAGACUAAAGCUCAAGCAAAAUGUUGAAAUUACAAAAGACAACCUAAAUUAACUCAACGCCUUUUGCUCUCCACCGAGUCUUCUUUUUCUCCAUCUGCUUGGUUCUUCCUCUUGAAGCGUGAGUUACGGGAGUUGGCGCUGUGAGGAGUGAUCGGUCACUUUUGUGUGUUGUCGGUGUUGGGCUGUUAUGGUGGCAAUGAUUGGGGCUGCCGGCGAGAUGCAACCCGAUUUGGGACGGCGGGGAUGCCGUCACAGGUGUCGACUGGCUAUAGCGAUGGCAGACGAGUCGACGAAGUGGAAGAAGACUCGGAAUUUGUGUGAUUGCUGCCUAUUAUGGAGCAAUGGCGGUGGUGCGAACUGUAGGUCGUAGGUUUGGGAAGAUUAUAGCGUUGAUAGUUGGUGGUAGUUUCUGGUGAUAAAUGGUAGCAGUGGUGGCUUAGUAGAUUGUGUGUGGGGUAGUUACUGUUUGUAGCAGUUUAUAUAGGUGUCGUGGUACAGUUGAUAUUCAGCAGCUACGGGCAUGAGGCGAUUUUGAAUUUUGCAGUAGCCGGUUUGAAGUGUGGAGAAUAUGAUGUGGGGGUUUGUUGCUGGUUAUAGUUGCUGUGGACGAGUUGGAUAAACAGGUGUAGUAUAUGGCGGUUGGGGAGGUGGAGGCGAUGGAGGAGAAAUUGAAUGAAUAAUUAUAGGCGAAGGAGGCUAAGGUGACUUGUGAUGUUUUUGAAUGUUGGUGCUGUGUAAAUUGUUGUCCAGGUUUAGCUCUGAUACCACUUUAAUGCCGGAUGAAAGAAGGGACCAGAAGAAGAGUUUCAAGAAGGAGAAGGAGAGGGAGAAGAAGGCAGCAAAAAAGGGGGGAGAAGACUGGAGAGAAAGGGGGAAGAUCGGAGAAGAAAACCAAAGGAAGGGACGGGGAAGCAAGGGAGGAAACGACUGCAAGCCAAACAUAAUAAUAUUUCAUUCCAUCAUUGUUUGUAUGUAAUUACAACUGAAAAUCAUAUAAAUAGUAGAAGAAGACCUAACAUUCAUUAGCUUGGACUAGACCCACUAAAUAAGUCCAAUAAAGUGAAAAAGACAUAAUUAAAUAACAUGAAGUAAAAAUAAAUAGGCCGAGAUGUCCGCAUCACAUACUCUAUAUCUUUCCCUCCAACUGGUUAAAAUUGUUCUCGAUGUCAUUUUUUAGAAUUUCAAUUGUGUUUCUUAUGUUCAAUUUAUUAAGAAAAGGUCG
Molecule: long non-coding RNA, 1293 nt
Filed under: Olea europaea subsp. europaea
Lineage: Eukaryota; Viridiplantae; Streptophyta; Magnoliopsida; Lamiales; Oleaceae
Source: RNAcentral